Molecule: unclassified non-coding RNA, 287 nt
Filed under: rhizosphere metagenome
Description: partial ribosomal RNA internal transcribed spacer region
Source: RNAcentral
GUAGGUGAACCUGCGGAAGGAUCAUUAAUAGAGCAAUGAGCAGUCAGCGCCCCGGGAGAAAUCCUGGGGGCCACCCUCCUCGGAGGGUCUAGAGACGUCGAGCCUCUCGCAGAAGCUCGGUUCAGACCUCCACCCUUGAAUAAAUUACCUUUGUUGCUUUGGCAGGACGCCUCGUGCCAGCGGCUUCGGCUGUUGAGUGCCUGCCAGAGGACCACAACUCUUGUUUUUAGUGAUGUCUGAGUACUAUAUAAUAGUUAAAACUUUCAACAACGGAUCUCUUGGUUCUG